Molecule: ribosomal RNA, 87 nt
Filed under: Paenibacillus brasilensis
Lineage: Bacteria; Bacillati; Bacillota; Bacilli; Caryophanales; Paenibacillaceae
Description: partial 16S ribosomal RNA
Rfam family: Bacterial small subunit ribosomal RNA
Source: RNAcentral
UUAUUGGAGAGUUUGAUCCUGGCUCAGGACGAACGCUGGCGGCGUGCCUAAUACAUGCAAGUCGAGCGGGGUUCAUUAGAAGCUUGC